CGGCGAGUGAAGCGGGAAGAGCUCAAAUUUAAAAUCUGUAAGGUUCAACCUUGCCGAGUUGUAGUUUGAAGAAGUGUUUUCCGCGGCGGCUGCAGUACAAAUCCUUUGGAACAGGGUAUCAGAGAGGGUGAGAAUCCCGUCUUUGACUGCAGACUAGUUGCACUGUGAUACACUUUCUAAGAGUCGAGUUGUUUGGGAAUGCAGCUCAAAAUGGGUGGUAAAUUUCAUCUAAAGCUAAAUAUUGGCAAGAGACCGAUAGCGAACAAGUACCGUGAGGGAAAGAUGAAAAGAACUUUGAAAAGAGAGUUAAAUAGUACGUGAAAUUGUUAAAAGGGAAACGCUUGAAGUCAGUGUUGCCGGCGGAAAAUCAGCUUCGUGCGGACGGCUUGUCGCGGUGGAGGGAGUGUCAAAGCCCCUUGCCGCGGGACAGCCGGGCGGAUGGAGUGCACUUUUCAGUCGGCAGGUCAACAUCAAUUUCAGCCGGUGGAAAAAUACAAGUGGAACGUAGGUUGGAGCAAUCCGACUGUUAUAGCCACUCGUGGAUACACCGGCGGGGAUUGAGGACAGCAGUGCAGGCCACUACGGCGGAAGCGCUUCUCUUUUCACGGGGGGGCACACCAAGACAGCAAGCUGACUUGGCGUGUACACCGCUGGGAACGGAGGGGCUGACUUCUCCUGCACUAAGGAUGUUGACGAAAUGGCUUUAAACGACCCGUCUUGAAACACGGACCAAGGAGUCUAACAAAUAUGCGAGUAUUUGGGUGGCAAACCCAUAUGCGCAAUGAAAGUGAAUGUAGGUGGGAUCCCGGUUACGGGAGCACCAUCGACCGAUCUGGAAUAAUUUACGAUAGAUUUGAGUAAGAGCAUAUCUGUUGGGACCCGAAAGAUGGUGAACUAUGCCUGAAUAGGGUGAAGCCAGAGGAAACUCUGGUGGAGGCUCGUAGCGAUUCUGACGUGCAAAUCGAUCGUCAAAUUUGGGU
Molecule: ribosomal RNA, 980 nt
Filed under: Basidiobolus microsporus
Lineage: Eukaryota; Fungi; Basidiobolomycota; Basidiobolomycetes; Basidiobolales; Basidiobolaceae
Description: eukaryotic LSU rRNA
Rfam family: Eukaryotic large subunit ribosomal RNA
Source: RNAcentral